CCUACGGGAGGCAGCAGUGAGGAAUAUUGGUCAAUGGGCUUACGCCUGAACCAGCCAAGUCGCGUGAGGGAAGACUGCCCUAUGGGUUGUAAACCUCUUUUGUCAGGGAGCAACGCCGGCUACGUGUAGCCGGACUGAGAGUACCUGAAGAAAAAGCAUCGGCUAACUCCGUGCCAGCAGCAGCGGUAAUACGGAGGAUGCGAGCGUUAUCCGGAGUUAUUGGGUUUAAAGGGUGCAUAGGCGGAAUGCCAAGUCAGCGGUAAAAUCGCGGGGCUCAACCUCGCUCCGCCGUUGAAACUGGCGUUCUUGAGUGGGCGAGAAGUAUGCGGAAUGCGUGGUGUAGCGGUGAAAUGCAUAGAUAUCACGCAGAACUCCGAUUGCGAAGGCAGCAUACCGGCGCCCAACUGACGCUGAAGCACGAAAGCGUGGGUAUCGAACAGGAUUAGAUACCCUAGUAGUC
Molecule: ribosomal RNA, 460 nt
Filed under: uncultured bacterium
Lineage: Bacteria
Description: partial 16S ribosomal RNA
Rfam family: Bacterial small subunit ribosomal RNA
Source: RNAcentral